RNAcentral lists this ribosomal RNA (301 nucleotides) under uncultured bacterium. Its description in RNAcentral is "partial 16S ribosomal RNA". It matches the Rfam family "Bacterial small subunit ribosomal RNA", at positions 509 to 807 of the family's 1533-position model. The record is from RNAcentral.
CAGCAGCCGCGGUAAUACGGAGGAUCCGAGCGUUAUCCGGAAUUAUUGGGUUUAAAGGGUGCGUAGGCGGAUAGAUAAGUCAGUGGUGAAAGACGGUGGCUCAACCAUCGCAGUGCCGUUGAUACUGUUUAUCUUGAAUAUGGAUGAGGUAGGCGGAAUGUGGCAAGUAGCGGUGAAAUGCAUAGAUAUGCCACAGAACACCGAUUGCGAAGGCAGCUUACCAAGGCAAAAUUGACGCUGAGGCACGAAAGCGUGGGGAUCGAACAGGAUUAGAUACCCCGGUAGUCCCUGUCUCUUAUAC